UGUAAGCGUAUACCAAAGUUGUUGCAGUUAAAACGCUCGUAGUCGGAAUUUGGCAGUUCCGGAAGUGUGCACGUCGUGUGCGCACUUUGCGGGGACUGCUUUUGUGGUCUUGCGUAGGAUGAGGCACUUUCAUUAGUGAACGUCCUCACGCAACCACUCUUUACUGUGAGAAAAUCAGAGUGCUCAAAGCAGGCAUUUGCCGUGAAUGUAUUAGCAUGGAAUAAUAGAAUAGGACUCGGUUCUAUUUUGUUGGUUUGUUGGGACUGAGUAAUGAUUAAGAGGGACAGUUGGGGACAUUUGUAUUCCGGCGCUAGAGGUGAAAUUCUUAGAUUGCCGGAAGACAAACUGCUGCGAAAGCGUCUGCCAAGGAUGUUUUCAUUGA
This 382-nucleotide ribosomal RNA is filed under the name uncultured eukaryote. RNAcentral describes it as "partial 18S ribosomal RNA". It matches the Rfam family "Eukaryotic small subunit ribosomal RNA", at positions 592 to 976 of the family's 1831-position model. The record is from RNAcentral.